Non-coding RNA from Oryzias latipes (Japanese medaka), 461 nucleotides. The record is from RefSeq and is a predicted model, not a curated record. NCBI's taxonomy places the organism in Eukaryota, Metazoa, Chordata, Actinopteri, Beloniformes, Adrianichthyidae.
UUACACCAGGCAGAGCAGGAAACUGUUGGAGUUGUUGUUCCCUCUGUGGCGUGUCCUCUCUCCUCUCAGACCUGUCCUUACUGUUCAACCCUUGUGGGACAUCGAAAUCCCGCUAGCUAGCAUUCAUGUUUUAUGUCUGAUCGUAAAUAAGGUCAUAUUAUCUGAUGUUUCAGAUGUUUUUUCCUCCUGAAUCUUUGUUCCGGCAGACCUCUCAGAGAAAAACAUCUGUAAGGAGGAGACUGAUGAUGAGCAGCUUCUCUGGAAGCAGGAGAGGAGCUCCAGUCUGGAUGAAGACAAACCAGAGCUUCCACUGAUCAAAGAGGAGGAGGAGGAGGUCUGCAUUGGAGAUGUCUGUGAGCCUGCCCAGAAAGCCUUUCCAUCACACCAGGGGGGUAUUCCAGAAAGCAGGUUCUGAUAGUUACCAUGGACUGCAUCGGUGAGGACACGUCCACUGCUGGAGG